This 447-nucleotide ribosomal RNA is filed under the name uncultured soil bacterium. Its description in RNAcentral is "bacterial SSU rRNA". It matches the Rfam family "Bacterial small subunit ribosomal RNA", at positions 26 to 472 of the family's 1533-position model. The record is from RNAcentral.
AGAUUGAACGCUGGCGGCAUGCCUAACACAUGCAAGUCGAACGGGAGUAGCAAUACUCUAGUGGCGGACGGGUGAGGAAUACGUAGGAAUUUGCCCUUAAGUGGGGGAUAACCCGGGGAAACCCGGAUUAAUACCGCAUGACCUCGAAAGAGCAAAGUGGGGGAUCGCAAGACCUCACGCUUUUGGAGAAGCCUACGUCGGAUUAGCUAGUUGGUGAGGUAAUGGCUCACCAAGGCGACGACCCGUAACUGGUCUGAGAGGAUGAUCAGUCACACCGGAACUGAGACACGGUCCGGACUCCGUACGGGAGGCAGCAGGUGGGGAAUAGUUGGACAAGUGGGCGCAAGCCUAGAUCCAGCAAUCGCCGCGUGUGUAGAAGAAGGCCGUUCGGUUAGUAAAGCUAACGUUUAAGUAGGGUAAAGAAAAACGUCGACUACUAACACAAGU